CUGUUCUCUUCUGCAUAAGCUUCGUUCAGUACUGCAAUGAUUACUGUCUUGUUUGGCAUUGAAGCUCGUUGUAGCGCUGCUUCGAGCUCAUCUCUAGGUUUGAUUGAUGCCUGAAAUUAUAAGGAGGGUUUACACUGAAGAAACCAGUGAGAAAGUUGGGGAAGAAAUCUGCAGAUUUUGUUCAAAAAAUGUGGACAAAAUUCCUACUUACAGUUACUGGACAUCCCAAUGUAGCAAGGUUUAAAGCUUUUUUGGUCGUCAGCUUACUGUAUCAUGUUGCUAGCUUGUUAAUUGAGAUUCAGUGAAUGUUGCAACAACAAAUGCUAGCGGUAUGAAAUCAAUUUCAAGUUUAUUAUUUUGAUA
This is a long non-coding RNA of Asparagus officinalis (garden asparagus), 363 nucleotides long. RefSeq lists it as uncharacterized. The transcript is spliced from 2 exons. The record is from RefSeq and is a predicted model, not a curated record. Lineage: Eukaryota; Viridiplantae; Streptophyta; Magnoliopsida; Asparagales; Asparagaceae.